GAUGAACGCUGGCGGCGUGCCUAACACAUGCAAGUCGAACGGUGAUAUAUAGAUGAUUUCGGUCUGAAAUAUAUCAUAGUGGCGGACGGGUGAGUAACGCGUGGAUAACCUGCCCCGUACUGGGGGAUAGCAGCUGGAAACGGCUGGUAAUACCGCAUAAGCGCACGAGGGGGCCUCCCCCUGUGUGAAAAGAUUCAUCGGUACGGGAUGGGUCCGCGUCUGAUUAGCCAGUUGGCGGGGUAACGGCCCACCAAAGCGACGAUCAGUAGCCGGCCUGAGAGGGUGAACGGCCACAUUGGGACUGAGACACGGCCCAG
This 317-nucleotide ribosomal RNA is filed under the name uncultured bacterium. RNAcentral's name for it is "bacterial SSU rRNA". It matches the Rfam family "Bacterial small subunit ribosomal RNA", at positions 28 to 334 of the family's 1533-position model. The record is from RNAcentral.